GGCCAAGUUUUUAAGGGCGCACGGUGGAUGCCUUGGUACCAGGAACCGAUGAAGGACGUGGGAGGCCACGAUAGUCCCCGGGGAGCCGUCAACCAGGCUUUGAUCCGGGGGUUUCCGAAUGGGGAAACCCGGCAGUCGUCAUGGGCUGUCACCCACAUCUGAACACAUAGGGUGUGUGGAGGGAACGCGGGGAAGUGAAACAUCUCAGUACCCGCAGGAAGAGAAAACAACCGUGAUUCCGGGAGUAGUGGCGAGCGAAACCGGAUGAGGCCAAACCGUAUACGUGUGAGACCCGGCAGGGGUUGCGUGUACGGGGUUGUGGGAUCUCUCUUUCACAGUCUGCCGGCUGUGAGACGAGUCAGAAACCGUUGGUGUAGGCGAAGGACAUGCGAAAGGUCCGGCGUAGAGGGUAAGACCCCCGUAGUCGAAACAUCAACGGCUCGUUUGAGAGACACCCAAGUAGCACGGGGCCCGAGAAAUCCCGUGUGAAUCUGGCGGGACCACCCGCUAAGCCUAAAUAUUCCCUGGUGACCGAUAGCGGAUAGUACCGUGAGGGAAUGGUGAAAAGUACCGCGGGAGCGGAGUGAAAUAGUACCUGAAACCGUGUGCCUACAAGCCGUGGGAGCGUCGCUGUAUGUGCUUGCACAUACAGUCGUGACUGCGUGCCUUUUGAAGAAUGAGCCUGCGAGUUUGCGGUGUGUUGCGAGGUUAACCCGUGUGGGGAAGCCGUAGCGAAAGCGAGUCCGAACAGGGCGAUAUAGUAGCGCGCUCAAGACCCGAAGCGGAGUGAUCUAGCCAUGGGCAGGUUGAAGCGGCUGUAAGAGGUCGUGGAGGACCGAACCCACCAGGGUUGAAAACCUGGGGGAUGACCUGUGGUUAGGGGUGAAAGGCCAAUCAAACUCCGUGAUAGCUGGUUCUCCCCGAAAUGCAUUUAGGUGCAGCGUCGUGUGUUUCUUGCCGGAGGUAGAGCACUGGAUAGGCGAUGGGCCCUACCGGGUUACUGACCUUAGCCAAACUCCGAAUGCCGGUAAGUGAGAGCACGGCAGUGAGACUGUGGGGGAUAAGCUCCAUGGUCGAGAGGGAAACAGCCCAGAGCAUCGACUAAGGCCCCUAAGCGUACGCUAAGUGGGAAAGGAUGUGGAGUCGCAGAGACAACCAGGAGGUUGGCUUAGAAGCAGCCACCCUUGAAAGAGUGCGUAAUAGC
Molecule: ribosomal RNA, 1204 nt
Filed under: Streptomyces sp. ActVer
Lineage: Bacteria; Bacillati; Actinomycetota; Actinomycetes; Kitasatosporales; Streptomycetaceae
Description: partial 23S ribosomal RNA
Rfam family: Bacterial large subunit ribosomal RNA
Source: RNAcentral